UACGUAGGGGGCAAGCGUUAUCCGGAUUUACUGGGUGUAAAGGGGGCGCAGACGGCGAUGCAAGCCAGGAGUGAAAGCCCGGGGCCCAACCACGGGACUGCUCUUGGAACUGCGUGGCUGGAGUGCAGGAGGGACAGGCGGAAUUCCUGGUGUAGCGGUGAAAUGCGUAGAUAUCAGGAGGAACACCGGUGGCGAAGGCGGCCUGCUGGACUGCAACUGACGUUGAGGCCCGAAAGCGUGGGGAGCAAACAGG
Molecule: ribosomal RNA, 253 nt
Filed under: uncultured bacterium
Lineage: Bacteria
Description: partial 16S ribosomal RNA
Rfam family: Bacterial small subunit ribosomal RNA
Source: RNAcentral